Molecule: ribosomal RNA, 994 nt
Filed under: Bacillus anthracis (anthrax bacterium)
Lineage: Bacteria; Bacillati; Bacillota; Bacilli; Caryophanales; Bacillaceae
Description: bacterial SSU rRNA
Rfam family: Bacterial small subunit ribosomal RNA (bases 1-597)
Source: RNAcentral
AAUUUGUGGAUAAUAGUAUAUAAUUAUAAGCAACGUGUAGAACGUUUGUAGGUCUUGAAAUCCUAUGACAACCGUUGAGAUAGGGCUUAUCCUUCGGGAGCAGAGUGACAGGUGGUGCAUGGUCGUCGUCAGCUCGUGUCGUGAGAUGUUGGGUUAAGUCCCGCAACGAGCGCAACCCUUGAUCUUAGUUGCCAUCAUUUAGUUGGGCACUCUAAGGUGACUGCCGGUGACAAACCGGAGGAAGGUGGGGAUGACGUCAAAUCAUCAUGCCCCUUAUGACCUGGGCUACACACGUGCUACAAUGGACGGUACAAAGAGCUGCAAGACCGCGAGGUGGAGCUAAUCUCAUAAAACCGUUCUCAGUUCGGAUUGUAGGCUGCAACUCGCCUACAUGAAGCUGGAAUCGCUAGUAAUCGCGGAUCAGCAUGCCGCGGUGAAUACGUUCCCGGGCCUUGUACACACCGCCCGUCACACCACGAGAGUUUGUAACACCCGAAGUCGGUGAGGUAACCUUUUAGGAGCCAGCCGCCGAAGGUGGGACAGAUGAUUGGGGUGAAGUCGUAACAAGGAAGCGGUAAUCGUUUCCCCAGCAGCCGCGCCUGGAGUGAGCCACACCCCGGGAUCCGAGACCCAUACCGUGUUAGUAUGAAAAAGCCCCACCCUCCCGAAAGGGUGCCCUAUGGAAAAUGCCUGCAACGGGGCCUUUUCACGGUUGCGGGCCUUAUGGUGACAUUCUAGUAACGUGGUCUUUCUUGGGUUAUUCCCUGAUUUCUGGGAUAACAGUAAUACCGCCUUUGAGUGAGGAUAUACCGCUUGCGGCAACAUAAGGCUGCUCGUAAAUCUGCAAGGCUGCUCGUCAGGGGUGGAGAGCUGCUUCUUCCAUAUGUGUCUUAGUUCUUCGCAAUGCGUCCAGCUUAUUCCAAUGAGCCAUGUAUGUAGACCCGGCCGAGCUUCUGCAGAUCUACGCUUAAAUGGGGAAUUGAACUCCCGCCGC